This 1363-nucleotide ribosomal RNA is filed under the name Citrobacter braakii. Its description in RNAcentral is "partial 23S ribosomal RNA". It matches the Rfam family "Bacterial large subunit ribosomal RNA", at positions 1588 to 2925 of the family's 2925-position model. Lineage: Bacteria; Pseudomonadati; Pseudomonadota; Gammaproteobacteria; Enterobacterales; Enterobacteriaceae. The record is from RNAcentral.
AAGUAACAAAUGCCCUGCUUCCAGGAAAAGCCUCUAAGCAUCAGGUAACACGAAAUCGUACCCCAAACCGACACAGGUGGUCAGGUAGAGAAUACCAAGGCGCUUGAGAGAACUCGGGUGAAGGAACUAGGCAAAAUGGUGCCGUAACUUCGGGAGAAGGCACGCUGAUAUGUAGGUGAAGUGAUUUACUCAUGGAGCUGAAAUCAGUCGAAGAUACCAGCUGGCUGCAACUGUUUAUUAAAAACACAGCACUGUGCAAACACGAAAGUGGACGUAUACGGUGUGACGCCUGCCCGGUGCCGGAAGGUUAAUUGAUGGGGUUAUCCGUAAGGAGAAGCUCUUGAUCGAAGCCCCGGUAAACGGCGGCCGUAACUAUAACGGUCCUAAGGUAGCGAAAUUCCUUGUCGGGUAAGUUCCGACCUGCACGAAUGGCGUAAUGAUGGCCAGGCUGUCUCCACCCGAGACUCAGUGAAAUUGAACUCGCUGUGAAGAUGCAGUGUACCCGCGGCAAGACGGAAAGACCCCGUGAACCUUUACUAUAGCUUGACACUGAACACUGGUCCUUGAUGUGUAGGAUAGGUGGGAGGCUUUGAAGUGUGGACGCCAGUCUGCAUGGAGCCAACCUUGAAAUACCACCCUUUAAUGGCUGGUGUUCUAACGUAGACCCGUAAUCCGGGUUGCGGACAGUGUCUGGUGGGUAGUUUGACUGGGGCGGUCUCCUCCUAAAGAGUAACGGAGGAGCACGAAGGUUAGCUAAUCCUGGUCGGACAUCAGGAGGUUAGUGCAAAGGCAUAAGCUAGCUUGACUGCGAGAGUGACGGCUCGAGCAGGUGCGAAAGCAGGUCUUAGUGAUCCGGUGGUUCUGAAUGGAAGGGCCAUCGCUCAACGGAUAAAAGGUACUCCGGGGAUAACAGGCUGAUACCGCCCAAGAGUUCAUAUCGACGGCGGUGUUUGGCACCUCGAUGUCGGCUCAUCACAUCCUGGGGCUGAAGUAGGUCCCAAGGGUAUGGCUGUUCGCCAUUUAAAGUGGUACGCGAGCUGGGUUUAGAACGUCGUGAGACAGUUCGGUCCCUAUCUGCCGUGGGCGCUGGAGAAUUGAGGGGGGCUGCUCCUAGUACGAGAGGACCGGAGUGGACGCAUCACUGGUGUUCGGGUUGUCAUGCCAAUGGCAUUGCCCGGUAGCUAAAUGCGGAAGAGAUAAGUGCUGAAAGCAUCUAAGCACGAAACUUGCCCCGAGAUGAGUUCUCCCUGACCCUUUAAGGGUCCUGAAGGAACGUUGAAGACGACGACGUUGAUAGGUCGGGUGUGUAAGCGUAGCGAUACGUUGAGCUAACCGAUACUAAUGAACCGUGAGGCUUAACCUU